This 856-nucleotide non-coding RNA is filed under the name Pongo abelii (Sumatran orangutan). The record is from RNAcentral. Lineage: Eukaryota; Metazoa; Chordata; Mammalia; Primates; Hominidae.
AGCGCCCCGACAGGCCAUAAUUCCGCGGCCCCACGUGACCUCCGGGGCCGCGCCUUCCGGACGCAGCUCCGCUGGGGCGGAAGUUGGUUUUGUGCGGCUCACAAGAACUAAGUUUGUGCUGUGCUGCGGAUGCCUAGAGUGCUUCCUUGUAUCUUCCGCAGGACCCCUUCCUUUUUUCUUGAAGAUUGAUUUUGCUAGAAGUUAUCCUGUGAUGGGACUCCCUAGGGGAAUGGAGGCACCACGUGGUUAAGGAGUUUGUGCUUUGCCGCCCACAUAGUGUGGGCAGCUGAGGCGCCGCCCGGGUCAGAGCCGCAGGGCGUCUACUCUGUCACUUUCCCAGCCUGACUUUUCCGAAUUGCUAUUUCAGGCGGCGGUUGCAGCAGCCGAUCUGUCUCAACUCCACCACUGUAGCCAGAGAAUCAAAAGCGGUCUGAGGUGCGAGGCCAUUGGGGCGGCCCCCACCCCCACAUUACCAGUGAGGAAACUGAGACUUAGAAAAGUGACCUGACCUGGACACGGAUUGCCUGGCAUCAGAGCUGGAUUCUUAAGUGCCUGUUAGUGUUCAGGCACUGCUCAGACUUUUAGUAAAGGUGAGCGCCAUCUACUGCCAAGUCUCACAAAAUAUUCGCAAAAUUUGAUACGGUUAUCACAUGGUAAAAAUUAGACUUUAAAAGCUGUAUUUAAUGCUGUGUUUUCAGCUGUUGUACACUUAUGUAAUUUUAAUUAUGCAAAGUUAUCCUAAUAAUAUAGGAAUAUUAAUUGCUUUCGUGAGGUCUGUUUUGAUGUGCCACGAACGCCAAAAAAGAUGACUACAUAGUGCUUUACCUUUUUGCUCAAAUAGAAAGCUUUUAUUUCC